AACGAACGCUGGCGGCGUGGAUUAGGCAUGCAAGUCGUACGCGAAAAUCUCCUUCGGGGGAUGAGUAGAGUGGCGAACUGGUGAGUACAAGGUGACUAACCUGCCCUUGAGUGGGGGAUAACUUCGGGAAACCGAAGCUAAUACCGCAUGGUUUCUUGAUCUCUCGGGAUUGAGAAUAAAGCAGCAAUGCGCUCAAGGAUGGGGUCACCCCCCAUUAGCUUGUUGGUAGGGUAACGGCCUACCAAGGCUGCGAUGGGUAGCUGGACUGAGAGGUUGGCCAGCCACACUGGGACUGAGAUACGGCCCAGACUCCUACGGGGGGCAGCAGUCUAGAGGCUUCGACAAUGACCGAAAGGUUGAUCGAGCGACGCCGCGUGCGGGAUGACGGUCUUCGGAUUGUAAACCGCUUUUGUUUGGGAAGAAGGCCUGUAUCGUGAAUAUGGGAUUGACGGUACCAAACGAAUAAGCCCCGGCUAACUCCGUGCCAGCCGCCGCCGUAACAC
This 503-nucleotide ribosomal RNA is filed under the name uncultured bacterium. Its description in RNAcentral is "bacterial SSU rRNA". It matches the Rfam family "Bacterial small subunit ribosomal RNA", at positions 29 to 526 of the family's 1533-position model. The record is from RNAcentral.